RNAcentral lists this ribosomal RNA (325 nucleotides) under uncultured bacterium. Its description in RNAcentral is "bacterial SSU rRNA". It matches the Rfam family "Bacterial small subunit ribosomal RNA", at positions 29 to 334 of the family's 1533-position model. The record is from RNAcentral.
AACGAACGCUAGCGGCGUGCUUAACACAUGCAAGUCGAACGAGAAAAGCUCCUUCGGGAGCCAAGUAAAGUGGCGCACGGGUGAGUAACACGUGAACAACGUGCCCUCAGGUGGGGGAUAACGGGCCGAAAGGCUCGCUAAUACCGCAUGAGACCACGACCCUCGCGGGGGUUGAGGCCAAAGGGGCGUGCUUUCGGGCACGCCUCGCCAGGGGAUCGGUUCGCGGACCAUUAGCUUGUUGGUGAGGUAACGGCUCCACCAAGGCGACGAUGGUUAGCUGGUCUGAGAGGAUGAUCAGCCACACUGGGACUGGAACACGGCCCAG